Molecule: transfer RNA, 74 nt
Filed under: Loxodonta africana (African savanna elephant)
Lineage: Eukaryota; Metazoa; Chordata; Mammalia; Proboscidea; Elephantidae
Rfam family: tRNA
About the family: Transfer RNA (tRNA) molecules are approximately 80 nucleotides in length. Their secondary structure includes four short double-helical elements and three loops (D, anti-codon, and T loops).
Source: Rfam by way of RNAcentral
GCAGUGGUAGUUCAGUGGUAGAAUUCUUCUUGCAUUCCAUGCAGGAGACCCGGGUUUGAUUCCUGGCUAUUGCC